RNAcentral lists this small RNA (178 nucleotides) under uncultured Prevotella sp. RNAcentral's name for it is "Bacteroidales-1 6S-Bacteroidales RNA suggested". It matches the Rfam family "Bacteroidales-1 6S-Bacteroidales RNA suggested". The record is from RNAcentral. Lineage: Bacteria; Pseudomonadati; Bacteroidota; Bacteroidia; Bacteroidales; Prevotellaceae.
UCGCAUCGUUCGAUCGGGAUACUCAUCAAAUAAAAGUAACAACUGAUUCGGUAUUCCAUGCCAAUGGCGGGCCACAGGGAGCGCAAGUUCCCCAGUCGUUUGACCGGUGGAUUACAAAAGCUGGAAUCCUUCAUAACUUCAUUAUAUGGAGUUUCAUCACAUCACGGUGCGGCCUUUC